GAUGAACGCUGGCGGCGUGCUUAACACAUGCAAGUCGAACGGUGAAAGAGAGCUUGCUCUCUGGAUCAGUGGCGAACGGGUGAGUAACACGUGAGCAAUCUGCCCCUGACUCUGGGAUAACAGCUGGAAACAGCUGCUAAUACCGGAUACGAGUUGCGAAGGCAUCUUCAGCAGCUGGAAAGAAUUUCGGUCAGGGAUGAGCUCGCGGCCUAUCAGCUUGUUGGUGAGGUAAUGGCUCACCAAGGCGUCGACGGGUAGCCGGCCUGAGAGGGUGACCGGCCACACUGGGACUGAGACACGGCCCAGACUCCUACGGGAGGCAGCAGUGGGGAAUAUUGCACAAUAGGCGAAAGCCUGAUGCAGCAACGCCGCGUGAGGGACGACGGCCUUCGGGUUGUAAACCUCUUUUAGCAAGGAAGAAGCGAAAGUGACGGUACUUGCAGAAAAAGCGCCGGCUAACUAC
Molecule: ribosomal RNA, 463 nt
Filed under: uncultured Actinomycetes bacterium
Lineage: Bacteria; Bacillati; Actinomycetota; Actinomycetes
Description: bacterial SSU rRNA
Rfam family: Bacterial small subunit ribosomal RNA
Source: RNAcentral